This 403-nucleotide ribosomal RNA is filed under the name bacterium. RNAcentral's name for it is "partial 16S ribosomal RNA". It matches the Rfam family "Bacterial small subunit ribosomal RNA", at positions 355 to 776 of the family's 1533-position model. The record is from RNAcentral.
UGGGGAAUAUUGCACAAUGGAGGGAACUCUGAUGCAGCGACGCCGCGUGAACGAAGAAUGCUUUCGAGUCGUAAAGUUCUUUUAUAUGGGAAGAUAAUGACGGUACCAUAAGAAAAAGCCCCGGCUAACUACGUGCCAGCAGCUGCGGUAAUACGUAGGGGGCUAGCGUUGUCCGGAAUCACUGGGCGUAAAGGGUUCGCAGGCGGAAAUGCAAGUCAGGUGUAAAAGGCAGUAGCUUAACUACUGUAAGCAUUUGAAACUGCAUAUGUUGAGAAGAGUAGAGGUAAGUGGAAUUUUUAGUGUAGCGGUGAAAUGCGUAGAUAUUAAAAAGAAUACCGGUGGCGAAGGCGGCUUACUGGGCUAAUUCUGACGCUGAGGAACGAAAGCGUGGGUAGAAAACAGG